RNAcentral lists this ribosomal RNA (406 nucleotides) under uncultured bacterium. RNAcentral's name for it is "partial 16S ribosomal RNA". It matches the Rfam family "Bacterial small subunit ribosomal RNA", at positions 30 to 526 of the family's 1533-position model. The record is from RNAcentral.
AUUGAACGCUGGCGGCAGGCCUAACACAUGCAAGUCGAACGAGUGGCGGACGGGUGAGUAAGGUCUGGGAAACUGACCGAUGGAGGGGGAGAACUACUGGAAACGGUAGCUAAUACCGCAUACCAUCGGAUGUGCCCAGAUGGGAAUAGCUAGUAGGUGGGGUAACGGCUCACCAAGGCGACGAUCCCUAGCUGGUCUGAGAGGAUGACCAGCCAAACUGGAACUGAGACACGGUCCAGACUCCUACGCGAGGCAGCAGUGGGGAAUAUUGCACCUUGGGCGCAAGCCUGAUGCAGCCAUGCCGCGUGUACUAAGAAGGCCUUCGGGUUGUAGAGUACUUCCAGCGGGGAGGCGUUACCCGCAGAAGAAGCACCGGCUAACUCCGUGCCAGCAGCCGCGGUAAUUC